GAUGAAGAACGUAGCGAAAUGCGAUACUUGGUGUGAAUUGCAGAAUCCCGUGAACCAUCGAGUCUUUGAACGCAAGUUGCGCCCGAAGCCAUUAGGCCGAGGGCACGUCUGCCUGGGCGUCACACAACGUUGCCCCCCCAAGCCUCGACUUCCAAGAGGACGGGGGGCGGAUGCUGGCCUCCCGUGUGCCACGGCUCGCGGUUGGCCUAAAUGCGAGUACUCGGCGACGAGCGCCGCGGCAAUCGGUGGUUGUCUAACCCUCGGUGCCAUGCUGCGCGCGCGAUUCGCUCACUGUUACUCGACGACCCCAAUGCGUCGUAGACACGACCCUCACAACGCGACCCCAGGUCAGGCGGGGCUACCCGCUGAGUUUAAGCAUAUCAAUAAGCGGAGGA
Molecule: unclassified non-coding RNA, 395 nt
Filed under: soil metagenome
Description: partial contains 5.8S ribosomal RNA, internal transcribed spacer 2, and large subunit ribosomal RNA
Rfam family: 5.8S ribosomal RNA (bases 1-122)
Source: RNAcentral